UGGCGGCGUGCCUAACACAUGCAAGUCGAACGAGAAAGUGGAGCAAUCCAUGAGUAAAGUGGCGACCGGGUGAGUAACACGUGACUAACCUGCCUUCGAGUGGGGGAUAACCUCGGGAAACCGGGGCUAAUACCGCAUAAUGCCUUCGGGUUAAAGAAGCAAUUCGCUUGAAGAGGGGGUCGCGGCUGAUUAGCUAGUUGGUGAGGUAACGGCUCACCAAGGCGAUGAUCGGUAGCCGGCCUGAGAGGGCGCACGGCCACACUGGAACUGAAACACGGUCCAGACUCCUACGGGAGGCAGCAGUGGGGAAUUUUGCGCAAUGGGGGAAACCCUGACGCAGCAACGCCGCGUGGAGGAUGAAGCCCCUUGGGACGUAAACUCCUUUCGACCGGGACGAUGAUGACGGUACCGGUGGAAGAAGCCCCGGCUAACUUCGUGCCAGCAGCCGCGGUGAUACGAGGGGGGCAAGCGUUGUUCGGAAUUAUUGGGCGUANAGGGCGCGUANGCGGUGCGGUAAGUCACCUGUGAAACCUCUGGGCUUAACUCAGAGCCUGCAGGCGAAACUGCCGUGCUC
Molecule: ribosomal RNA, 574 nt
Filed under: uncultured bacterium
Lineage: Bacteria
Description: bacterial SSU rRNA
Rfam family: Bacterial small subunit ribosomal RNA
Source: RNAcentral